Molecule: ribosomal RNA, 440 nt
Filed under: uncultured bacterium
Lineage: Bacteria
Description: partial 16S ribosomal RNA
Rfam family: Bacterial small subunit ribosomal RNA
Source: RNAcentral
CCUACGGGUGGCAGCAGUGGGGAAUAUUGCACAAUGGGGGAGACCCUGAUGCAGCGACGCCGCGUGAGUGAAGAAGGAUUUCGGUGUGUAAAGCUCUAUCAACAGGGAAGAAAAGUGAGGUACCUGGUUAAGAAGCCCCGGCUAACUACGUUCCAGCAGCCGCGGUACUACGUAGGGGGCAGGCGUUAUCCGGAUUUCCUGGGUGUAAAGGGGGCGUAGACGGCUGCACAGGUCUGGAGUGAAAUGCUGGGGCUUAACCGCGGAAUUGCAUUGGAAACUGUGCAGCUAGAGUGCAGGAGAGGUAAGUGGAAUGCCUAGUGUAGCGGUGAAAUGCGUAGAUAUUAGGAGGAACACCAGUUGCGAAGGCGGCUUACUGGACUGUAACUGACGUUGAGGCUCGAAAGUGUGGGGAGCAAACAGGAUUAGAUACCCUUGUAGUC